Chrysemys picta bellii (western painted turtle) is the source of this 3528-nucleotide non-coding RNA. The record is from RefSeq and is a predicted model, not a curated record. NCBI's taxonomy places the organism in Eukaryota, Metazoa, Chordata, Testudines, Emydidae.
AUGCACAAUUCCAGUCUGAAUGUGACCAACUCUACUGUCAGGGAGAAGCACAUCCUAAAAGCCAUUUGAGGAGAGCCUUCCAAUUGAACCAUACAGCAGAGCUGGGUGAGACGACGGCAGCAGCGACCUUUCACAUUGAAAAUAUCGAGUAGCGUUCAGCCCGAGUUGAGCUGCAGCAAAGAGCGAUCCAAGGAGCACAACCAGUGAAUCAUCUGCAAACACUCACAGCUGUUUGGAUCAGCCAGACCAAUGCCCUACUAAACUGAAGUCCUUCCGCUAUGAACCACCUGGUCACCCACUGAGCUUUCUGUCUGAUCAACACUGCUCUCUGUACAGUGCAUUUCAGGUAACAUGCCAUCAACAGGAUACAGACCACGUUCUUGUGUAGACAACAGCAUUCAAAUUAGUACUAAGAAAAAAUCAACCAACUGGAGCCCCAGCUCCUUAGAAUGCGAGUAUGAAAAUGCUGGUUCCCUUCCCAGUUUUUGGCAGUGGAGAUUUGCCAUUAUAGAUCACGCAGGCCCAGUGUUUGGCGAGGGAAGGUAGAGUUAAUGGGCAAACUGGAGGGUAGGAUUAAACAAGACUUUAUUACUUCUCCUUGUGUGGCAAACAUAGCAAAGGAUUCUUAGCAGCAGUUUCUAAUAUUAGAAAGACAUUCAUGUAUAGUUGGGAAGGAGCAAAACAAAACAAUUGUUUUUCGCAAGUCUCCGUCACUACCACGGCAAUCCACUGGGCCGGAGAGUGAGUUGCACAGGGGACGACAAGCUGCUUAUUGGGGCAGUGGCUCUGUUUGCAUCCACAGGGUUUUAUGCAAGCGACCUCUUUGGUUUUGAUCCAUGGGAUUUGCACCACUUGAGGCUGAGAGGGCGGGUUCCUUUGAACCCCCCAAAAAGCAAAGUGGCACUCUAGCUAACUUGAUGAGUUUCAUCUGGCUUCCAAACUGGGGCGGGGUUGCUUGAAGCAGGACGGAGUUUGCAACUAAAAAGCAAACCCAGGUGCUUUCUUGCAUGAUAAGCAGGAUCAGUGAGUCCAAAAGAACCACCCUAUUUCAUCCUUACGCUAGGAAACACCUGUUAUUCCAAGAGGGUCAUUCCAUGCUUAAAAGCUUUGGGGCUUUUUAAAACUCACUGGUUUUUAAGAGGUACAAAGCCAGGUCAUCUCCUAUCCCGGAUUCCACCCUAUAUAGGUGGAAAAGAAUGGGAUAAAAUGAGGGAAACUACACCAGUGCACCAGGAAGUUGGUAGGGCUGGGACAGCAGGGGCUACGGAGCUAACGCCGCAGUUUUGCUUUAAGUCGAACAAGGAACGAGGGGUGGAACAAGCCGUGAAGCAGGCAGAGGUAGGGUGUAGAUUCUGUUGCGAGCACUUGAGAGAGAGCUGCUAGGAAGGGAGUGAAGACCUGGCGAGGAUAGCUGAGAGGCAGGUAAGAGCUCAGAGGACAGAUACCCAAGUCACUCGGCACUAAGGGUACGUCUACACUGCAAUUACAAACCAGUGGUUGGUGACUCAGCUCACGAGGUUCGGGGUAAGAGACUGUUUAAUUGGGUCCAGGCCAAACCCAAAAGUCUACACCACGAUUAAACAGGCCCUAAGCCUGGAUCUUGGCCAAGAUCCAGCAGUAGCAUGGCCUAGUACAUCAUCUCUGGACAGGCCACCCCUGGGUAUGUAACUGCAGUGUAGACAUACGCUAAGGGACUUGUCUACAUGACCCCACAGUGCAGACUGCAGGGUGCGAACUGCAGCCCACACUAAAGUUUUGUGCUGUAAGUAGACCCUGCUAGCACGAAGUAAAAGGUACCUAGUUCAUAGCAAUGUAGUCUCAUUUAAAGCAGCCCUACGCUAUCUCUUAGUUCAUGCUAGCAAGAUCUACGUGGGGUAAUUACAGCACUAAACUUUAGUGUGUGCUACAAUUCACAGCUCUGUAGGCCGUACUGUGUAGACAAGCACUAAAAUGCAGAAUCAGGGGAAGAGAAUUUAUUCUCACCGGCAGCGUUAUGCAAACUUACCUCACAAACCUAUAUAAAAUAGAGUAGCUCCAGCUAUCAAUCACAUGAAUGUUUGAAUUUACUGGAUAAAUUACUGAUUUAUUUUAAUAUGCAAAACCUUGUUGCUAUUGUGCCUACUGGUACACAUGAAUCUUGUCUAAUAUUACUUUUGUUACAUAGCGAUAAAAGGUAAAUAAGUAUUUGAAAUGUGUUUCUUUGAAUCAAAUACUUCAUCUAACACAGUGGACUCCUUCAAGCUUACACAGUUAGAACCAAAAAGUGCUAGUAGAAUCAGUCAUUAACAAACCUUUGCUUCAAGAGUUACCUUUUAAAAUGCAUCCAAGUCUGUGUAACUAAGUUAUGGCAACAGCUUAUCUGUCUCAUGAUUCAGCAUUUGCAAUAAGUGGAUAUUGACUUCAGUGGCAGUGACAAUUAUUGACCUGAAAGCUAAAUACUAGCCAAGGCACAGUAGAGGUUAACAUUUAACUGACUGGACACCUCAGACAAUUAACGUCUGUACUGUCAAUCAUCUACAGUUUCACAAUUCCGGCUGUGGAAUUGUCAACCGUAACAGCUUGCUGUUGAAGGAACAUUCUAAAUUAGAACUGAAGUUAGACGGUCCUGUCCAAUCAGGACGUGGAAAGUUGGAUAUGAGAGCUCAGUGGACACGUCGUAAGAACCUACUAAGAAGACUGCGGUAGCAUUUGCAAUUUAGAGCAGUUUUGCGCCUCAGAACAGGUGCGUAUAUGUUACCCAGGCUGUACAGGAACAUACAGUCAGGCGUGUUCACUGUGCACAUGGCAAGCAGCUAAGGCCACCAGAGGCAAAAUGGAUUCUUAACAUUGUGAUCAGCUCUCUUUCCCUCUGAGCAGUCGAUAAGAUUCCUGCUGCUGCCACGCACUUGUUACUAACAUGAGACCCACGCCAGGGAAGAGGAGAUGCUCGCUGGAUCCAUUCAGGGAACCUCACCGGGGAGUAGCCUGCCCAACUGGAUAGCUGCUAGUGAAUCGCAGACCUAAAAAGUCUUAAUGCACCUAUUACUGACGCAGUUGCAAAGUAGUAUUUGUAUGGCUAACCCUUGGCUUAGCCCAGCUGUACUAAUGUGAAACAUGUGCCUAGCACUGAAUCAGUUUUUAAAUCAAGGGGUUUAAUAGCAAAAUAGCCAUGAGGUAUGCACGAUAACAGCAUCCCCUCAGUGCUACAUGCAAAAUAGAGCGACUGUCCCUACGCUAUUCAAACUAGAGCCUAAGCAAAGAUCUUAACAGCAAGGAACUCUGGGAAAGUGCGCAGCUAGAGUCCAGUGGUGUAACUCUCUGGAUCAAUUCAAGCCAGAGUUCACAUGUUUCCCCCUACUCCCCGGAACAGGACUUCUUAACCAACAAGCAUGAUUUGUAACAUGGCCCAUGUAUUAAACUAAAAACAAGUGUUUGGAAAAUAAUACAGCUCUGAAAGUAACAGGGACAAGCCCAUCCUGUUAAUGCCAUUAUCUGCUCCAGUACCAGUCAUAUAGCUCUGGCUUUAAUUAUUUCAGGAAUCUCAGUUCA